This 1098-nucleotide ribosomal RNA is filed under the name Triticum aestivum (bread wheat). Its description in RNAcentral is "partial small subunit ribosomal RNA". Lineage: Eukaryota; Viridiplantae; Streptophyta; Magnoliopsida; Poales; Poaceae. The record is from RNAcentral.
AUGGCCUCUCGUGUCUCCCUCUCGGGCUCGCUCUCGUCGGGGUCCGGCUUCUCGUCCUCGGCUCCCCCGGCGAAUCUGGCGCUCCCAUCUCCCCUGCCACCACCUCCUCGCCCUGAUCUCCCCCCGUCUUCCUUGAUGCGGCCGCGUCCCCUGAUACGCUCCAUCAUCGUGCCACCAGUCCUGGGCACGGCCUUCGGCCCGAUUGUCCAAGGGGAGACGGGUGGUCCGUCGCGUGUCCCUGUUCCGCGCCGGGCGGAGGAUGCCUGGCACACCAAGGUGCGCCGCCGCCCGCGGGCUCCGCCUUGCCGGGAUCGGCUUCCAAGGCGCCGCCUUCCGCCCGGUCGGCCUCGUGUGCUGUCGGCCCCUCGUCCGCCGCCCUUCUCGCGGCUUCCGGUGGAGCUACAUGGUUGCUGCUACAACUGCGGAAGCGACGGACACAUCUCGGCGGACUGCUCAAACCCGCCCUUCUGCGUGCGUUGCCGCGGAGUCGGUCACAUCUCGCGCGGGUGUACUAGGCCGCGUAGCCCUUCUCCGGUGGAUCAGCCUGUGCAGCCGCCUGCUCUGCGCCGUCGGGUGGAGGAGGCCGCUCCCCCGUCGCCUCGGCACUCAGCCACCUCGCAGUCGCUUCCCCCACCGCCGCCCGGCCCUCCUCCUCCAGGUGUCGUUCGGCUUUGGAGUGAUCUGGUGCGGGAGCCAGCCCAGGGCUCGCUGCAGGCCGCCGGGGCGACUGCUGGGCCGGAGUUCUCGGUGCCUUUCGGUCAGCACGCGCCGGUGCGGCCUGCGGCGGUGCGUGCUCAGGCGGAGCAGGAGGACCUGGUGGAGGCCUCUGAAGACAUAUGGCAGAUGGAUCUGGCGUCGGCGACGGAGGCCUUGCAUGCCGCGUUUGAUAUCGGUCCGGCGGAUAUGUCCAUCCGGUCAUACUUCCCUGAUGAUUUCCUCGUGUUGUGCCGGGAUGGGGCGAUCCGUGAUAGGAUGGUCCGCGCAGGACACGCGCACUCCUCAUGGUUCGAGCUCAACCUCAGGCCAUGGAACAGGCAGGCGCAUGCAACGGCGGCUUCGCUGCCUUUCCUGGUCCCGAUCGCCCUGCGCGGUGUGUAG